This 327-nucleotide ribosomal RNA is filed under the name uncultured eukaryote. Its description in RNAcentral is "partial 18S ribosomal RNA". It matches the Rfam family "Eukaryotic small subunit ribosomal RNA", at positions 1470 to 1796 of the family's 1831-position model. The record is from RNAcentral.
CCCUUAGAUGUUCUGGGCCGCACGCGCGCUACACUGAUGCAUUCAACGAGUCUAAAACCUGGUCUGAGAGGGCUGGGUAAUCUUUUGAAAGUGCAUCGUGAUUGGGAUAGAUGAUUGCAAUUCUUCAUCUUCAACGAGGAAUGCCUAGUAAACGCAAGUCAUCAGCUUGCAUUGAUUACGUCCCUGCCCUUUGUACACACCGCCCGUCGCUACUACCGAUUGAACGUUUUAGUGAGCUCCUCGGAUUGUCAGCCUGGCGGUUAAUCCUGCCUGGCUAGCGAAAAGACGAGCAAACUUGAGCGUUUAGAGGAAGUAAAAGUCGUAACA